UCUCUGAUGGUCCAGUGGUUAAGACUCAGCACUUCCAAUGCAGGGGAUGCAGGUUGGAUCCCUGGUUGGGGAA
Molecule: transfer RNA, 73 nt
Filed under: Bos taurus (domestic cattle)
Lineage: Eukaryota; Metazoa; Chordata; Mammalia; Artiodactyla; Bovidae
Also listed under: 2 other names
Rfam family: tRNA
About the family: Transfer RNA (tRNA) molecules are approximately 80 nucleotides in length. Their secondary structure includes four short double-helical elements and three loops (D, anti-codon, and T loops).
Source: Rfam by way of RNAcentral